CCUACGGGCGGCAGCAGUGGGGGAUAUUGCACAAUGGGGGAAACCCUGAUGCAGCGACGCCGCGUGUGGGAAGACGGUCUUCUGGAUUGUAAACCACUGUCCCCAGGGACGAAAAUGACGGUACCUGGGGAGGAAGCUCCGGCUAACUACGUGCCAGCAGCCGCGGUAAUACGUAGGGAGCAAGCGUUGUCCGGAAUUACUGGGUGUAAAGGGAGCGUAGGCGGGGAUGCAAGUUGGGUGUCAAAACUACCGGCUCAACCGAUAGUCGCACUCAAAACUGCAGCUCUUGAGUGAAGUAGAGGCAGGCGGAAUUCGUAGUGUAGCGGUGAAAUGCGUAGAUAUUAGGAGGAACGCCAGUGGCGAAGGCAGCCUGCUGGGCUUUUACUGACGCUGAGGCUCGAAAGUGUGGGGAGCAAACAGGAUUAGAUACCCGAGUAGUC
This 440-nucleotide ribosomal RNA is filed under the name uncultured bacterium. RNAcentral's name for it is "partial 16S ribosomal RNA". It matches the Rfam family "Bacterial small subunit ribosomal RNA", at positions 338 to 795 of the family's 1533-position model. The record is from RNAcentral.